AGUUAGUGUUUUUGUGUGUUUGUUUAUGUGUGUCGUGGAGGAGUGAUCUGUGCCUGUCUAUGUGGCUGUAUGAUGAACCAGGCUGUUGCCAUGGUGACGGUGGUGGUGGGCAUGACACAGAUGCGGGAGGUGGAGUUUGUGCCCGAUGGAGACAUGCACCUGGACAAAUUGUGUUGGUCAUUGGUCAGACUGGAGUUUACAUGUGUACCUCCUUCACCAUCAUUGGUGGACAUUUCACCAUGAGUGAUGCUUGAGCUGUCACGGUGCUGCUGCUGCUGUCUGCCAUCAUCACCCUGACACAGACCACCCUGCAGACCACCUUCAUCCUGGGUGCCACACGUCACUGCUGCUACAACUCAGAGCAACUGGAGCGCAAGCCAGGAAGGGAGAUAGUUACUUUUCACUUAAUUUGUUGUUUAUUUGAGGGCCUAAUGACAGACACAUAAUGGAAUGAGUAUUUGUGAAUGUUUGUUUAUAUCUAGAUACAGCAUUCACAUAUCUUUUAAGUGCCACCUUCCAAAAACAAUGUCAGCCAGAAAAAUAACUGAUGAAUCUAAUUACAUUUCAAGUCAAAAAGUUUUCCUUUAACCACUUUGCUCCAGAUGCUUAAAAACAUGCGUUGCUCACAUACAUGGCGUCGCGUAGGCUCGUCACUGGUAACUUAUCUAAUUUCUAAUAAUUUCUAAUAUAAUUUCUGUGUGUGUGUGUGUGUGUGUGUGUGUGUGUGUGUGUGUGUGUGUGUUUUUUAUAUAUGAGUGACACUGGCCAAGGACAACAAAAAUCCAAUAAAAAAAUAUGCCCACUGAAAUGGCAGUCCCAUAAAAGGGUCAAAGCAGUGGUCAAAAGUUGAUGAAUAAGUGUCUUAAAACCUCCCUCUUGAAGGAAUUCAAGUCAUAGGAAGGUGGAAAUACAGAAGCAGGCAGGGAGUUCCAGAGUUUACCAGAGAAAGGGAUGAAUGAUUGAGAAUACUUGUUAACUCUUGCAUUAGAGAAGUGGACAGAAUAGGGGUGAGAGAAAGAAGAAAAUCUUGUGCAGCGAGGCCGUGGAAGGAGGGGAGGCAUGCAGUUAGCAAGAUCAGAAGAGCAGUUAGCAUGAAAAUAGCGGUAGAAGACAGCUAGAGAUGCAACAUUGCGGCGGUGAGAGAGAGGCUGAAGACACUCACUUAUGUUUGUGUGUGUGUGUGUGUGUGUGUGUGUGUGUGUGUGUGUGUGUGUGUGUGUGUGUGUGUGUGUGUGUGUGCACUGAUGCAGCUGAGAAGGUUGCCUUAUGAUAAUUAUUGACAAAUGAAGGUAAUGGAUGCGCAUGUCAUUACUACUUUUUUAAGUGUGUGUGUAUGUGUGUGUGUUAUGUACACACACACACACACACACACACACACACACACACACACACACACACACACACACAAAGAGAAGUAAUAGACACGCAUCCUUUACCUUCAUUCAUCAAUAAUUGUCAUAAGACGACCUUCCCAGCUGCAUCAUUACACACACACACACACACACACACACACACACACACACACACACACACUUACACACCAUGUAGUGUAGUGGUUAGCACGCUCGGCUCACAACCAAGAAGGCCCAGGUUCGAAUCCCAGGCACGGUGAGGCAGAUGGACAAGCCUCUUAAUGUGUAGCCCUCUUAAUGUGUAGCCUCUUAAUGUGUAGGUACAGGAUGUAACCCGAGGUGAUGUGACUUUGCUGCCCCGGUGUGUGGUGUGUCAUUGGCCUCAGUCCUACCCAAAGAUCAGUCACCAUGAGCUCUGAGCUCUUACACACACACACACACACACACACACACACACACACACACACAGAGAGAGAGAGAGAGAGAGAGAGAGAGAGAGAGAGAGAGAGAGAGAGCAAAAUGGCAAUGAAUGAAACAGGGAGGAGGGGGAACUGUGUGUGAAUGAAAACAUCAUCUACGUGAAACAUUUGAUUGAUUAUAAAGCACAUGUGCAUCAUAUAUAGUCAUGAAUGUGGAGGAACAGCAGAGUGAGUGAUCAACCACAGAAAGGAGAGAGUCGGACAUGCGGAGAGAAUGGAAGGGGAACAAUUUGAGAAGAUAAGCAUGCAAAUACAUAAAUAUAAGGUGGAAUAACAGUGUUUGGUGGGAAGAUGAAAGAGAGAUGCCUGUUUAUGAAGCAAAAUGAUUGUGCAAGAGAGGAAUGAUUGGAAAACCAUUCCCACCAUAGCCAACAGACCUUACACCAUAUUUUUACAAACCACAGCAUCUCUAUUCAUCCAUUCUGUGUGUCUUCUCUUCUCUCUCUCUCUCUCUCCACUCUUAAUGCUGCUGUGGGUCUCUGGGCUGGAGUACAUCAGAGAAAGAUUGACACCAACUUAUAUAUGAGAGGAUGUUGUCUGUAACUAUGCUAUGGGGACAUUGCAAGUUUGUGGGGUGUAGUGAAUGAAUAAGUGUGUCCUCUAUAGCAUACUUAAAAACCACACUCUCACAUGGAAAUCAAUCUCUCUCUCUCUCUCUCUCUCUCUCUCUCUCUCUCUCUCUCUCUCUCUCUCUCUCUCUCUCUCUCUCUCUCUCUCUCUCUCUCUCUCUCUCUCUCUCUCUCUCUCUCUCUCUCUCUCUCUCUCUCUUUGGAAUUAUACUGUAUAUUAGGAAAUAUCAUUAAAGAGUGUGUGUGUGUGUGUGUGUGUAAAAAGUGUUUGCAUUAUUGUGCAUUUGAUGUUAUAGCCCUAGGUACUUAAAGUUUUCUGGUUUCAUGAUGUAUAAAGAUUGCUAUUUUUAAUAAAGUUAUUGAAAUUGUUAUUGAGUGUUUGUAUUGAACUCAUUAGCUUUGUAAUAGUGUGCGUCUCAUCAUGCAUUCAUUAAUGAUGUAGAGUGGAAAUGUCCACUCCUAUCAUGCAUAAUAUCAAUGCAUUAUUGGUUUAUGUUGUUAUUUGUGUAUAAAUUGUAAAGUUAUGCCAGUCUAUUUUAGUACAAACUAAAUAUCAGCUGGAAGAGAGGACAGGUAAUGGCACACUAAAACACAGGAAGGGACAAUGAUAUAACCAUCCAAUUUAACAAUACACAGAGGAAGAAGAAUGAGAAAGCAAUAAAAAUGGAUUAUUUAAUGGAUGAUUAAUAGACCCUCAUUUGUAAUGUUAUUUCAGGCAAGAAUAUUAAAAGAGACAGCUGGCUUGCCCUUUGUACUUGUUCAGCUUGCCCUUAGCACUUGUUCAUACAUGACAGAAUGAGAGAUCUAUGGGGUGGGGGUGACACCUGGAAAUGGGUAUGAUUCAUGAAGGGAUUCAUUGAUUGGUUCACUGACUGAUUAAGAAAAAAAAACGUAGCAGUGGAGGGUGGGGGGGAAGGCGCCCCCAACUUUCCAGUCAUAUAUGGCGUGGAAGGGACAAUACCAGCAAAGAAAAAUAUGAGAAAAUGCAUAAUUUACUACAAAACCCAAAAUGCGAAAAAAAAACCUUGCCAAAUUGAACCUUCCCACGAAUGGAGUUUUGAUGCAAUGAGCCACAGUUACUUAAAACACUCAACAAAUAUAACACCUGCCAAAAAAAAAAAAAUAAAAUCAAUCAAUCAAUCAAUAAAUAAAGAUAAAAACGCGAGAAAACCUUUAAAUUAUCACAACGCGAAAUAUACACACACGCCAAACUGGAUGCGUCACUAGUUAAUACCCCCCAAUAGUUUAUAGCCCCUCCCCUAUUCAUUGCUCUCCCCCCUUCCCUGCCUUGAGGAACACCUUCACUUAUGGCCUGCUGUUGGGUCAGAUUUGAGCCAUUUUAACCUCGAAUUACAUACAAUACAUACAUACAUACAUAUUGUCUCCUUGCAAUAAUUAUAAUAGUCUUCCUGGCUUAAUUUUUGUUUAUUCAUUAUUCCUUAUGUGUUUAUUAAUUAUUUGUCAUUUGUCUAAUUCCUUGUUUUAUUUAGCCUCGGUAUUUAACUAAGCAUUUUUUUUUUUCACUUUCUGACUGUGGCCCUUGCAAUGAACGGCUUAAUUGUUUAUUUACUGUUCCUUACGUGUUUAUUGAUUAUAUGUGAGUUAUUUAUUUGAUAUUCAUGAUUUUUUUUUUAACUUCGUAUUUCUUUAUAUGAUAGUUUUAUCUUUUCGUGUUUUCUGGCUUAAGUUUUGUUUAUUACUCCUUGUUUGUGUUAUUAGGUGUGUCAUUAAUUAUUUGUCUUAUUUCUCGUAGUUUAAUGGAUUUUUUAGCACUUUAAUUAUUAGAGUUCCUCACCAGUCAUUUUAUUCGAGAGAGAGAGAGAGAGAGAGAGAGAGAGAGAGAGAGAGAGAGAGAGAGAGAGAGAGAGAGAGAGAGAGAGAGAGAGAGAGAGAGAGAGAGAGAGUCUAAAUGAAUGAUAAAAAAAAAUAAUAAUCAGUUACAGUAUUUAUUUAUAAACGAACAAUUCAUGAUAAUAAUAAUAAUAAUAAUAAUAAUAAUAAUAAUAAUAAUAAUAAUAAUAAUAAUAAUAUUUAAAUACAAGGAGGAAAAUGUGUAAUAAUAAUAAUAAUAAUAAUAAUAAUAAUAAUAACAAUAACUGCUUUUAUCUUACACAGAUAAAUAGUUUUAUAAAUAGUUUAUUGACCAUAAACAUUGUGUACAUACACACAAAAUUAAAUAGAACAGAUAAAAAUUUCAAAAUGUAGUCAGUGACACAGAAGACUGGUGACAAAACCUACUAAAGCCCAUUAAAUGAUUGGGUGUCUCAAGUUUCCACAUCAUCAGUGGAACACUGCUUCUGAGCACUCAGGGAUGGACAAGCUUUUCAUGGCUUGUGUGAAUGGAGACAAGACGUGUAGGGGAUUUAUUUGUUCUGUUUUUUCUUGUCCUACUCUCUCUUCCUCCCUCUUGACUCUUCCUUUGCUUCAUCCUACUCUUUCUCUUGCUCAUUCUCUCUCUCUCUCUCUCUCUCUCUCUCUCUCUCUCUCUCUCUCUCUCUCUCUCUCUCUCUCUCU
Molecule: long non-coding RNA, 4914 nt
Organism: Scylla paramamosain (green mud crab)
Lineage: Eukaryota; Metazoa; Arthropoda; Malacostraca; Decapoda; Portunidae
Exons: 3
Source: RefSeq, a predicted model, not a curated record